This 494-nucleotide ribosomal RNA is filed under the name uncultured bacterium. RNAcentral describes it as "bacterial SSU rRNA". It matches the Rfam family "Bacterial small subunit ribosomal RNA", at positions 30 to 524 of the family's 1533-position model. The record is from RNAcentral.
AUUGAACGCUGGCGGAAUGCUUUACACAUGCAAGUCGAACGGUAGAGGGGGCAACCCCUUGAGAGUGGCGAACGGGUGAGUAAUAUAUCGGAACGUGCCCAGUCGUGGGGAUAACGUAGCGAAAGUUACGCUAAUACCGCAUACGAUCUAAGGAUGAAAGCGGGGGAUCGCAAGACCUCGCGCGAUUGGAGCGGCCGAUAUCAGAUUAGGUAGUUGGUGAGGUAAAGGCUCACCAAGCCAACGAUCUGUAGCUGGUCUGAGAGGACGACCAGCCACACUGGAACUGAGACACGGUCCAGACUCCUACGGGAGGCAGCAGUGGGGAAUUUUGGACAAUGGACGCAAGUCUGAUCCAGCCAUUCCGCGUGCAGGAUGAAGGCCCUCGGGUUGAAACUGCUUUUGUACGGAACGAAAGGUUUCUAUUAAUACUAGGAGCUCAUGACGGUACCGUAAGAAUAAGCACCGGCUAACUACGUGCCAGCAGCCGCGGUAAA